AGAGGAGUGCUGCAUCCUGGCUCCUGCACCACUGCCUUCUGAUGCCUGAGGUUUCACUGCACCAUGACUGAUGGUGGCUUACUCUAGUUCCAUGACUCUAGAAGUGACCCCAAUUACAGCUCUACACGGUCUUGUUUUCAAACAGGGGCUGGUGGGUUCACCCUGGCUGCAUGCCAGGUACCCACUAAAGCUGCUCUGGCAAUCCCCUCCACAACUGGACAGGGGAGAGAAAAUAUAUCAAAAGUUUCCUAGGCUGGAAUAAAGGCACAGAGAGAUCAUUUACCAGUUACCAUCAAGGGCAAAAGAGAGUCAACAUGGGGAAAUUACUUUAUCACCAAU
Passer domesticus (house sparrow) is the source of this 339-nucleotide long non-coding RNA. RefSeq lists it as uncharacterized. The transcript has 3 exons. The record is from RefSeq and is a predicted model, not a curated record. Lineage: Eukaryota; Metazoa; Chordata; Aves; Passeriformes; Passeridae.